GACGAACGCUGGCGGCGUGCUUAACACAUGCAAGUCGAACGGAAAGGCCCUGCUUUUGUGGGGUGCUCGAGUGGCGAACGGGAGAGUAACACGUGAGUAACCUGCCCUUGACUUGGGGAUAACUUCAGGAAACUGGGGCUAAUACCGGAUAGGAGCUCCUGCGGCAUGGUGGGGGUUGGAAAGUUUCGGCGGUUGGGGAUGGACUCGCGGCUUAUCAGCUUGUUGGUGGGGUAGUGGCUUACCAAGGCUUUGACGGGUAGCCGGCCUGAGAGGGUGACCGGCCACAUUGGGACUGAGAUACGGCCCAGACUCCUACGGGAGGCAGCAGUGGGGAAUAUUGCACAAUGGGCGGAAGCCUGAUGCAGCAACGCCGCGUGCGGGAUGACGGCCUUCGGGUUGUAAACCGCUUUCGCCUGUGACGAAGCGUGAGUGACGGUAAUGGGUAAAGAAGCACCGGCUAACUACGUG
This 468-nucleotide ribosomal RNA is filed under the name uncultured bacterium. RNAcentral describes it as "partial 16S ribosomal RNA". It matches the Rfam family "Bacterial small subunit ribosomal RNA", at positions 28 to 507 of the family's 1533-position model. The record is from RNAcentral.